CGGCAGGCCUAACACAUGCAAGUCGAGGGGUAACAUAAAGUGCUUGCACUUUGAUGACGACCGGCGCACGGGUGAGUAACGCGUAUACAAUCUGCCUCAUACUAGGGGAUAGCCCAGAGAAAUUUGGAUUAAUACCCUAUAGUAUCAUUUAGAGUCAUCUCUUCUUGAUUAAAGGUUACGGUAUGAGAUGAGUAUGCGUUCUAUUAGUUAGUAGGUGAGGUAACGGCUCACCUAGACCACGAUAGAUAGGGGCCCUGAGAGGGGGAUCCCCCACACUGGUACUGAGACACGGACCAGACUCCUACGGGAGGCAGCAGUGAGGAAUAUUAGACAAUGGGCGAAAGCCUGAUCUAGCCAUGCCGCGUGCAGGAUGACGGCCCUAUGGGUUGUAAACUGCUUUUAUACAGGAAGAAAAAACUCUACGUGUAGAGUCUUGACGGUACUGUAAGAAUAAGGAUCG
This 460-nucleotide ribosomal RNA is filed under the name uncultured Bacteroidota bacterium. Its description in RNAcentral is "bacterial SSU rRNA". It matches the Rfam family "Bacterial small subunit ribosomal RNA", at positions 40 to 495 of the family's 1533-position model. Lineage: Bacteria; Pseudomonadati; Bacteroidota. The record is from RNAcentral.